This 719-nucleotide ribosomal RNA is filed under the name Metabacillus indicus. Its description in RNAcentral is "bacterial SSU rRNA". It matches the Rfam family "Bacterial small subunit ribosomal RNA", at positions 56 to 769 of the family's 1533-position model. Lineage: Bacteria; Bacillati; Bacillota; Bacilli; Caryophanales; Bacillaceae. The record is from RNAcentral.
UGCUAGUCGAGCGGACCUCUUCGGAGGUCAGCGGCGGACGGGUGAGUAACACGUGGGCAACCUGCCUGUAAGACUGGGAUAACUCCGGGAAACCGGAGCUAAUACCGGAUACUAUGUCAAACCGCAUGGUUUGACAUUCAAAGACGGUUUCGGCUGUCACUUACAGAUGGGCCCGCGGCGCAUUAGCUAGUUGGUGAGGUAAUGGCUCACCAAGGCGACGAUGCGUAGCCGACCUGAGAGGGUGAUCGGCCACACUGGGACUGAGACACGGCCCAGACUCCUACGGGAGGCAGCAGUAGGGAAUCUUCCGCAAUGGACGAAAGUCUGACGGAGCAACGCCGCGUGAGUGAUGAAGGUUUUCGGAUCGUAAAACUCUGUUGUCAGGGAAGAACAAGUGCCGGAGUAACUGCCGGCACCUUGACGGUACCUGACCAGAAAGCCACGGCUAACUACGUGCCAGCAGCCGCGGUAAUACGUAGGUGGCAAGCGUUGUCCGGAAUUAUUGGGCGUAAAGCGCGCGCAGGCGGUUUCUUAAGUCUGAUGUGAAAGCCCCCGGCUCAACCGGGGAGGGUCAUUGGAAACUGGGAAACUUGAGUGCAGAAGAGGAGAGUGGAAUUCCACGUGUAGCGGUGAAAUGCGUAGAGAUGUGGAGGAACACCAGUGGCGAAGGCGACUCUCUGGGUCUGUAACUGACGCUGAGGCGCGAAAGCGUGGGGAGC